UGGCAUGAGUUAGAGCUUGGUCCUCGAUCGAUCCUUGGGUCUGAGCCCUGCAAAACCACCAAAGAUAGGAAAAGUCCUCAAGCCAGAAAGGAGAUUUCUAAUGGUGGACCCUUCGAUGACUAGGUCAGUCGCCCACAGAAGUAAAUAGAAGAGGUCUGAACUUUCAAAUAAGAACUUAAUGAGAAACGAAGCCGAGUAUGAGGUGGGAUGGAGAUUGGAUUAGCGAUAGAAUGCGGAAUUCCCGUGAUGGCCAGAUGGUUUGUGAGGCGUUUUAAUGGGGUAGAGACAGCUCAAAGCUUGAUGGGAGAGAUGAAUCCAGUUUAUAUAGAGUCAGUCUCCAGGAGAUAGCAUGCAAAAUAAGUAUCUACUUACCAAGAGGGUCCCCAAGAAUUUAGAUUUAUGGACAAAAGUGGGUACUUGUUGUUUGAGGGAUGUAUGCCAUUCUUUCUCCUAAGGGCCGC
Molecule: long non-coding RNA, 461 nt
Filed under: Elaeis guineensis (African oil palm)
Lineage: Eukaryota; Viridiplantae; Streptophyta; Magnoliopsida; Arecales; Arecaceae
Description: long non-coding RNA (EGUI_LNC048308)
Source: RNAcentral